AUAGUUUGAUCAUGGCUCAGAUUGAACGCUGGCGGCAGGCCUAACACAUGCAAGUCGAACGGUAGCAGGAUGUGCUUGCACAUCGCUGACGAGUGGCGGACGGGUGAGUAAUGCUUGGGAACUUGCCUUUGCGAGGGGGAUAACAGUUGGAAACGACUGCUAAUACCGCAUAAUGUCUACGGACCAAACGGGGCUUUUAGCUCCGGCGCAAAGAGAGGCCCAAGUGAGAUUAGCUAGUUGGUGAGGUAAAGGCUCACCAAGGCGACGAUCUCUAGCUGUUCUGAGAGGAAGAUCAGCCACACUGGGACUGAGACACGGCCCAGACUCCUACGGGAGGCAGCAGUGGGGAAUAUUGCACAAUGGGGGAAACCCUGAUGCAGCCAUGCCGCGUGUGUGAAGAAGGCCUUCGGGUUGUAAAGCACUUUCAGUUGUGAGGAAAGGUUGGUAGUUAAUACCUGCCAGCUGUGACGUUAACAACAGAAGAAGCACCGGCUAACUCCGUGCCAGCAGCCGCGGUAAUACGGAGGGUGCGAGCGUUAAUCGGAAUUACUGGGCGUAAAGCGCACGCAGGCGGUUUGUUAAGCUAGAUGUGAAAGCCCCGGGCUCAACCUGGGAUGGUCAUUUAGAACUGGCAGACUAGAGUCUUGGAGAGGGGAGUGGAAUUCCAGGUGUAGCGGUGAAAUGCGUAGAUAUCUGGAGGAACAUCAGUGGCGAAGGCGACUCCCUGGCCAAAGACUGACGCUCAUGUGCGAAAGUGUGGGUAGCGAACAGGAUUAGAUACCCUGGUAGUCCACACCGUAAAC
RNAcentral lists this ribosomal RNA (803 nucleotides) under uncultured bacterium. RNAcentral's name for it is "bacterial SSU rRNA". It matches the Rfam family "Bacterial small subunit ribosomal RNA", at positions 8 to 807 of the family's 1533-position model. The record is from RNAcentral.